GAUGAACGCUAGCGGCAGGCCUAACACAUGCAAGUCGAGGGAGAGGUUACCUUCGGGUAGCCAAAACCGGCGCACGGGUGCGUAACGCGUAUACAAUCUGCCUUUCACAUAGGGAUAGCCCGAAGAAAUUUGGAUUAAUACCUAAUGGUAUAUAGGAGCGGCAUCGUUUUUAUAUUAAAGCUACGGUGGUGAAAGAUGAGUAUGCGUUCUAUUAGCUAGUUGGAGAGGUAACGGCUCCCCAAGGCGACGAUAGAUAGGGGUUCUGAGAGGGAUGUCCCCCACACUGGUACUGAGAUACGGACCAGACUCCUACGGGAGGCAGCAGUGAGGAAUAUUGGACAAUGGUCGGAAGACUGAUCCAGCCAUGCCGCGUGCAGGAUGAAGGUCCUAUGGAUUGUAAACUGCUUUUGUAAGGGAAGAAUAAGGAGUACGUGUACUUUGAUGACGGUACCUUACGAAUAAGCAUCGGCUAACUCCGUGCCAGCAGCCGCGGUAAUACGGAGGAUGCGAGCGUUAUCCGGAAUCAUUGGGUUUAAAGGGUCCGUAGGCGGGCUGAUAAGUCAGAGGUGAAAGCGCUUAGCUCAACUAAGCAACUGCCUUUGAAACUGUCAGUCUUGAAUGAUUGUGAAGUAGUUGGAAUGUGUAGUGUAGCGGUGAAAUGCUUAGAUAUUACACAGAACACCGAUAGCGAAGGCAUAUUACUAACAAUUUAUUGACGCUGAUGGACGAAAGCGUGGGGAGCGAACAGG
RNAcentral lists this ribosomal RNA (749 nucleotides) under uncultured Capnocytophaga sp. RNAcentral's name for it is "bacterial SSU rRNA". It matches the Rfam family "Bacterial small subunit ribosomal RNA", at positions 28 to 776 of the family's 1533-position model. The record is from RNAcentral. Lineage: Bacteria; Pseudomonadati; Bacteroidota; Flavobacteriia; Flavobacteriales; Flavobacteriaceae.